UGAGCUUUAUAAAUUAUAAAUGAUAAACCAAUACUCUAUUUCUCUUACAUGCAAAAAGGGAUAAAUAUGGCUAAAAUUGUGAAAUUUAUUUGUACUAUGAUUAUCUUUCUUUCUGUAUCUAUCGUUGCAAUGAACGAUGAAUCGACUUUUUUAUGUACAGAAGAUUUUGAUUGUCCAGAGUAUAUGUGCUCUCCUCCUAAGAAACCAUUGUGUUAUUUGUUUGCAAGUUCUCCCUUUGAAAGAAAAAUAGGUGUAUGUGAAUGUCAUUAAGCAAUGUUACCAUGAGAUUCUUCUAGAAAAAUUCAUGAGUUGUAAUUUAAUAAUUGUGUGGUCACCCAUUAAUUUGAUAUUUUUCUUUUUCUAUUUUCAUGGAA
Medicago truncatula (barrel medic) is the source of this 374-nucleotide long non-coding RNA. RefSeq lists it as uncharacterized. The transcript is spliced from 2 exons. NCBI's taxonomy places the organism in Eukaryota, Viridiplantae, Streptophyta, Magnoliopsida, Fabales, Fabaceae. The record is from RefSeq and is a predicted model, not a curated record.